CGAAUAUACUUAAAAUAGAAACUAAAUGGGCUAGCGAGCUCAGAAAAUGAUGCCUGUUUUAACCAUCACGAAGCAAAGAACAUGACUCCGCCCAAAAUCCUUCCUUCCAAAUCGACCUCAAACGGCUCCGGCAAUUCAUCUCGCAACCCGAAGAUUUUCCAGGAUUCUGAGUAAUCAUGGACACACCAAGAAGAAGAGGAAGAAGAAGAAUCGCCGAGGCCGUCUAUCCCCACCUCAGAAUCGCCGAGCCCCAAGUAAGGCCGGCCCCGAAGCCGGCGGUGGCGAUGACGCUGCCGGCGGCGACCUUGCCGCUUCUCACGGCCUCGUCCAAGGCCAGAGGAAUGGAAGCGGCGCUCGUGUUCCCAUAGUCAGCCAGAUUCGACAGCAC
RNAcentral lists this long non-coding RNA (388 nucleotides) under Spirodela polyrhiza (greater duckweed). RNAcentral describes it as "long non-coding RNA (SPOL_LNC001057)". The record is from RNAcentral. Lineage: Eukaryota; Viridiplantae; Streptophyta; Magnoliopsida; Alismatales; Araceae.